UCCUGGAUGACUCCCAACUGCUGAUGGCCUGCAGCCCAUGUGAUUCAGUCCCAGCAAGACCAGGACAGCACUAAAAGCUGAUUUAGGGCAAAAAGAAAAUUCCAGAACUACCAAUUUCAGCAAGGCUUCACAUGAAAUAUGAUUAGGUGUACUCCUGUGUUUGAACAGUAAGGAAUCCAGACUGGUUUCCCUGCCUGGAAAGGCAGAAGGAAUGGUGCUGAUUCUCACCUGCAUGAUUUUCUGUGUGCUUUCUAAGACCUCUAGGACAGGAUUGAAAUGCCCCACAGAAACAUUGUCUUCUAUGUAAUAACUAACCAGCCUGGACAAGUAAUGUAGAGUGGACAACUUUAGGAUGGCAAAAUUAAAGGGGUCAAGACAGGAUUCUUUGCUGCUUUGGACUUGAAGCUCAGUUAUUUAUAUACCUUACCUGCAAACCUUUUUCCUAGCUUUCCCAAAACUUCACAAAUGGAUGUCCCACUGACCUCAAAAAGGCUGGUCCUCCAAACGCUGCAGGAUUAUCAGCCACUAGGUCACCACACCAUGUGAUAUUUUCCUUCACCUUUAAGAUUCCUGGCUGAUAGAGAUCCAAAGCCUUUUAUGCUGUCAAAGUGGCCGCAGAGUUUUCAGGUGUCAAGUGACUCACAGAUUUCCCUGCAAGCAGAUGUCAGCCUGCAUUGCCUGGAUCUUUUGUAGCAAUCAGUCAAUCUACUUGAUGAAUAUUCAGCUAUUAAUUACACAGACUCACAGAACACCAGGUUGGAAGGGACCCCAGGGAUCAUCUGGUCCUACCUUUCUAGGUGAUAGUGUAA
Long non-coding RNA from Pogoniulus pusillus (Red-fronted tinkerbird), 809 nucleotides. RefSeq lists it as uncharacterized. NCBI's taxonomy places the organism in Eukaryota, Metazoa, Chordata, Aves, Piciformes, Lybiidae. The transcript has 2 exons. The record is from RefSeq and is a predicted model, not a curated record.